CAAAAACAUGUCUUUUUGAAUUAAUUUAAAGUCGGUCCUGCCCAAUGAUAAAUUAAAUGGCCGCAGUAUAUUAACUGUGCAAAGGUAGCAUAAUCAUUAGUUUUUUAAUUGAAAGCUUGUAUGAAUGGAUUGAUGAGAUAUAAGCUUUAUUUUAAUUUUUAAUAGAAUUUUAUUUUUUAGUUAAAAAGCUAAAAUUUUUGUAUAAGACGAGAAGACCCUAUAGAUUUUUAUAUUUAUAAUAUUUUAUUUAUAUAGUUUAGUUAAGAUAUAAUAAUUUAUAAUAUUUUAUUGGGGUGAUAGUAAAAUUUAAUUAACUUUUAUAAUUUUUAUUACAUAAAUUAAUGAAUUUUUGAUCCAUUAUUAAUGAUUAUUAAAUUAAAUUACCUUAGGGAUAACAGCGUAAUUUUUUUAGAGAGUUCUUAUCGAUAAAAAAGAUUGCGACCUCGAUGUUGAAUUAAAACUUAUUUUAGGCGCAGUAGUUUAAUAAUAAAGUCUGUUCGACUUUUAAAUUUUUACAUGAUCUGAGCUC
This 529-nucleotide ribosomal RNA is filed under the name Acrocera sp. SLW-2002b. Its description in RNAcentral is "partial 16S ribosomal RNA". The stretch from base 391 to 529 matches the Rfam family "Archaeal large subunit ribosomal RNA", at positions 2542 to 2681 of the family's 2987-position model. The record is from RNAcentral. Lineage: Eukaryota; Metazoa; Arthropoda; Insecta; Diptera; Acroceridae.